Molecule: long non-coding RNA, 424 nt
Organism: Physella acuta
Lineage: Eukaryota; Metazoa; Mollusca; Gastropoda; Physidae
Source: RefSeq, a predicted model, not a curated record
CCACUGUGGGAGUAGGAAGCCAGACAGCAAAAGUCGUUUGGUCGUCGGGAAUUUCAAAUUCUUACCUGGCUACGGUUUAGACAUUUCAACAUUUUAGAAGACAAAACAUUAGUUAAGAAGGUAGAUUCCGUUUAUCAGUCAAAACAGUUUGGAAGAAAGUUUUCUUGCUACGAAAGAAUCAACAAUCCAGUAAGUCCUACUUGACCUACCAGAUAUACAUAAGCAACACUCAAGCUAUAAAUAACCUAAGAACUAAAAAUAACUAUGGUGUACCCGAGAAUUGCUGACGUCUUUGCUGUUGUCAUGUGUUGUCUCCUCGUGCUGCCCUCUAUAUCUUCUUACAUACUUAUCGAUGGCGUGCAACCACAAUACCACACAACUAACAAGAAGAACGAUCAACGAUCGUCAAGACGGGGAAGUGGGG